Molecule: ribosomal RNA, 497 nt
Filed under: uncultured bacterium
Lineage: Bacteria
Description: partial 16S ribosomal RNA
Rfam family: Bacterial small subunit ribosomal RNA
Source: RNAcentral
GAUGAACGCUGGCGGCGUGCCUAAUACAUGCAAGUCGAGCGAACAGACGAGGAGCUUGCUCCUCUGACGUUAGCGGCGGACGGGUGAGUAACACGUGGAUAACCUACCUAUAAGACUGGGAUAACUUCGGGAAACCGGAGCUAAUACCGGAUAAUAUAUUGAACCGCAUGGUUCAAUAGUGAAAGACGGUUUUGCUGUCACUUAUAGAUGGAUCCGCGCCGCAUUAGCUAGUUGGUAAGGUAACGGCUUACCAAGGCGACGAUGCGUAGCCGACCCGAGAGGGUGAUCGCCCACACUGGCACUGAGACAGGGUCCAGACUCCUACGGGAGGCAGCAGUAGGGAAUCUUCCGCAAUGGGCGAAAGCCUGACGGUGCAACGCCGCGUGAAUGAUGAAGGUCUUCGGAUCGUAGAACUCUGUUAUUAGGGAAGAACAAAUGUGUAAGUAACUAUGCACGUCUUGACGGUACCUAAUCAGAAAGCCACGGCUAACUACGUG